RNAcentral lists this ribosomal RNA (253 nucleotides) under uncultured bacterium. RNAcentral's name for it is "partial 16S ribosomal RNA". It matches the Rfam family "Bacterial small subunit ribosomal RNA", at positions 524 to 776 of the family's 1533-position model. The record is from RNAcentral.
UACGUAGGGGGCUAGCGUUGUCCGGAUUUAUUGGGCGUAAAGAGCGUGUAGGCGGCCAGGUAGGUCUGCUGUGAAAACUCGAGGCUCAACCUCGAGACGUCGGCGGAAACCAUCUGGCUAGAGUCCGGAAGAGGAGAGUGGAAUUCCUGGUGUAGCGGUGAAAUGCGCAGAUAUCAGGAAGAACACCCGUGGCGAAGGCAGCCCCCUGGGAUAACACUGACGCUCAUGCACGAAAGCGUGGGGAGCAAACAGG